AACCUUAUGGACCUGCGGGCGUAUACCUGCGGAGGGAUCAUUACUGUGAUUUACUACUACACUGCGUGAGCGGAACGAAAACAACAACACCUAAAAUGUGGAAUAUAGCAUAUAGUCGACAAGAGAAAUCUACGAAAAAACAAACAAAACUUUUAACAACGGAUCU
This 166-nucleotide unclassified non-coding RNA is filed under the name soil metagenome. RNAcentral's name for it is "partial contains 5.8S ribosomal RNA, internal transcribed spacer 2, and large subunit ribosomal RNA". The record is from RNAcentral.